This 250-nucleotide long non-coding RNA is filed under the name Elaeis guineensis (African oil palm). Its description in RNAcentral is "long non-coding RNA (EGUI_LNC045158)". The record is from RNAcentral. Lineage: Eukaryota; Viridiplantae; Streptophyta; Magnoliopsida; Arecales; Arecaceae.
AUUUUAUACAUAUUAUCAAUCAAAAUAAAAUUAUCAAAAUAAAAUUAUAAACAUACAUAUUUGGAUAGAGAUUCGACUAUUAUCCAUAUCUGUAGGUUCGGAUCGAUUUUAGAUUCGAAUUUAAAUAGAAAAUAGUACUAUCCAUAUCCUACUUAUAUCUGUAUUAUAUUUUUUUAAUUUUAUUUUAAUUUUAUUAAAUUUUAUUAUUUAAAUUUAAUUAAAUUUAAAUAAAAUAUAUAUUUAUCGGAUC